GGUUGUGAAGCACUGAAUUCAUUACACUGUUUCAAAUAGCAGGAUUCAUUAUUCAAUAUUAGAAGUCUGACUUGCGCUCUUGGGAAGAAAAUGAUGACUCCAGAAAAUAAUGACGAUGCUGAGUGGUAUAAUGCUAUGGUAUAGAUGUCAGUGUCAGUGAGAAGGUUCACGUGGUUUAGCGUAGAGGGAUAGAAACACAUAAUGGCUGCCUUCGUUUAACGAUUCAGAGAUCAGCCUUUCGACUCAUCACAAAACCAAACCGUCAAGUGUGCUCAUCUUGUACGUAAUGCCAUUUUUGUUCUUGAUUUUUUCUCUUUUAUCUGUUUUAAAAAAGACUUUGUUUGUUUCUACUGUUGUUGAGAAAAAUCUAGACGUUGUAUGUGCCUAUACAUUUCCCCUUUUGUUCUUAGUUUUUUCUCUCUUUGUUGAUCACUUUAUUUGUACGGAGAUCUGUGUGAAAACGUAAAAUGUGCUCCCCCCCCCCCCCCCCUCUCUUUGCCUGGCCCUAAACGCAAGGUAACACAUGAUCUAUGACAUUCUAUCGACACGGUCUUCUCCUCCGGAAGACAGACAGGCGAACAGAAACAUCGAUAUUUUGGCGUGUAUUUUUUACCAUGGAGAGAAAGGAGCAGCGAGACAACAUGAAAAUAGAAUUGAGUCCCAAACGACAUUCUAUUUCCUAUGUAGUACACUACAUUUGGCUGGAGCCCAUAGGAGCCCUGGUCAAAAAGUAGUGCACUAUAUAUAGCACAGGAUGCCAGUUGAGAUGCAACCCAUGCUUUUUUUAAAUUUGUAUUAUAUUGUACUGUUCCAUAGAGCAAUUGAAGGACAAAUUGCUAGUUAACUCAUUGACUUUGUGGUUCAGGGGAACUUUAUAUGAUUUACAUUUAAUAUAUUAUUUACAGCAUUACCCUUUUAUUUAUUUAUGAAAAACAAUUUCAUCAUUCAAGGAAAAUGUAGUUUAGCUUAAGACAAAAACAAAAAACAAAUAGGAAAAACGUAUGCAAGUCUGUUUUCUCAAUGUCUGUCCCAUCAAAUAGCCCCUUCCUGUUGUCAUUCUCCCAUCAGCCACUUCAGGAUUACGGUAUCCAUUUUAGGAUAGAGUCACACGGCGUUACUCCGGUCCUAGUUAAGACACUGUACUGGGUAGCACUUCUUCUCAGAAAAGUAACACACAUUCACAGUAACUUUGAGCUGCGAAAUGACCUAGACACGUAUCAUGGCCAACAACAUAGACCAACUGACUACAUUGUCUAUAUAUUUGAAUAACAACUCAACAUUUGAAGUUGAAAGUUUGUCGUAAAUUUGAAAAGACCAAGAGUUUGCGAUAGCUAGCUGUGCUCUGAGACUUUUUCCCAGUCAGGACUGGACCGGACAAGAUAGGGACAAGAAGUGUUCUCUGUUCUCUGUUUAGAAACAUAGAGAGAUUCAAGGUUUGAGUCCCAAAUUACACCCUAUUUCAUACGCAGUGUACUACUUUUGACCAGGACCCCCCAUAGGGAACAGGGUACCUUUUGGGACUCCUCUCAAUGUGACCUUCAUUUAGCCAAAUGUGCUGACGAGAGAGCCGGUGUGUCUGUGAGAUAAUGGGAUAUUGGGUUUUACUAAUGAGAGAUCACUGUGCCAUUUAAAAAGGGUUCGGAGCACCCAACCACCCAACGAAUGUGGUCUUCAAACACCUGUUAUAGAUUAAAGCCUAUGGUUAUAACCGCUUAUGGACGAUAGGCUAUAACCUGUUAUAGAUUAAAGGCUAAGGUUAAAACCUCUUAUGGACGAUAGGCUAUAACCUGUUAUAGAUUAAAGGCUAUGGUUAUAACCUCUUAUGGACGAUAGGCUAUAACCUGUUAUAGAUUAAAGGCUAUGGUUAUAACCUCUUAUGGACGAUAGGCUAUAACCUGUUAUAGAUUAAAGGCUAUGGUUAUAACCUCUUAUGGACGAUAAGCUAUAACCUGUUAUAGAUUAAAGGCUAUGGUUAUAACCUCUUAUGGACGAUAGGCUAUAACCUGUUAUAGAUUAAAGGCUAUGGUUAUAACCUCUUAUGGACGAUAGGCUAUAACCUGUUAUGGAUUAAAGGCUAUGGUUAUAACCUGUUCUACAUGAUAUGCUAUGGUUAUAAUCUGUUAUGGAUGAUAUGCUAUGGUUAUAACCUGUUCUACAUGAUAUGUUAUGGUUAUAAUCUGUUAUGGAUGAUAGGCUAUGGUUAUAACCUGUUCUACAUGAUAUGUUGUGGUUAUAAUCUGUUAUGGAUGAUAGGCUAUGGUUAUAACCUGUUCUACAUGAUAUGUUAUGGUUAUAAUCUGUUAUGGAUGAUAGGCUAUGGUUAUAAUCUGUUAUGGAUGAUAGGCUAUGGUUAUAACCUGUUCUACAUGAUAUGUUAUGGUUAUAAUCUGUUAUGGAUGAUAGGCUAUGGUUAUAACCUGUUCUACAUGAUAUGUUAUGGUUAUAAUCUGUUAUGGAUGAUAGGCUAUGGUUAUAACCUGUUCUACAUGAUAUGUUAUGGUUAUAAUCUGUUAUGGAUGAUAGGCUAUGGUUAUAAACUGUUAUGGAUGAUAGGCUAUGGGUAUAACCCAUGAGUUGGGUGGUGCUGCAAUUUACUGUCAUGACUAUACCUGUAUUCUACAUGUUUUAUAGACCUACAAUACAGGUAUAGUUAGAGACAGAUAGCAGGCUGGGGUGAGGUGGAGACAGGUGACAGGUAGCAGGCUGGGGUGAGGUGGAGACUGGUGACAGUGAGAUUAGGUAUAGUUAGAGAGAUACCAGGCUGGGGUGAGGUGGAGACAGGUGACAGUGAGAUUAGGCAUAGUUAGAGACAGAUAGCAGGCUGGGGUGAGGUGGAGACAGGUGACAGUGAGAUUAGGUAUAGUUAGAGACAGAUACCAGGCUGGGGUGAGGUGGGGACAGGUGACAGUGAGAUUAGGUAUAGUUAGAGACAGAUAGCAGGCUGGGGUGAGGUGGAGACAGGUGACAGAUAGCAGGCUGGGGUGAGGUGGAGACAGGUGACAGAUAGCAGGCUGGGGUGAGGUGGAGACAGGUGACAGUGAGAUUAGGUAUAGUUAGAGACAGAUAGCAGGCUGGGGUGAGGUGGAGACGGAGGUGACAGUGAGAUUAGGUAUAGUUAGAGACAGAUAGCAGGCUGGGGUGAGGUGGAGACAGGUGACAGAUAGCAGGCUGGGGUGAGGUGGAGACAGGUGACAGAUACCAGGCUGGGGGUGAGGUAAUAGAUAGAUGGUGGUUCCUAACUAUCACGUGGUCGUGUAUGCAACAGUACUAGUUACAAUACAAGGACCGGAGUUUUUACCCACUGAACACUCUGAUGACUGUUGGGAAGGUGAAAUAUCCAGAUAGAAGUCCCUAAAGUACAUGUAUAUUGAAUUAAUCCUUAAAAUAUUUCCAAUUUUUAGAAUUGUUAACCAAAUUAGAUUUAGAGAUUGCAAUAUUAAAGUGUACAUUUUUUUUUUGUUGGUUCAUUUGAAAUGAAGAAAGGGGAACAAGACAUUAUAAAACAUACUUUAUUAUUAUAUAGAGUAAGAAUAACUCUUCUUCUUCUUCUUCUCCUAGGCUGUUUCUACCCACAACGUUGUAUGCUGGUUUUGUAAUAUGCUGUAGAGCAAGCAGUUCCACUGUUCCUUUUGUUUUAUAUAGACAACUGUUAUUUCAAUGGUGUAUUCUUUUUGUUUUUUGUUUGUUUGAUAAAUAAAAGUUUUGAUACAAAAA
This is a long non-coding RNA of Salvelinus fontinalis (brook trout), 3714 nucleotides long. RefSeq lists it as uncharacterized. The record is from RefSeq and is a predicted model, not a curated record. The transcript is spliced from 2 exons. NCBI's taxonomy places the organism in Eukaryota, Metazoa, Chordata, Actinopteri, Salmoniformes, Salmonidae.